Non-coding RNA from Triticum aestivum (bread wheat), 125 nucleotides. NCBI's taxonomy places the organism in Eukaryota, Viridiplantae, Streptophyta, Magnoliopsida, Poales, Poaceae. The record is from Rfam.
UUAGUACUCCCUCUGUCCCGAAAUACUUGUCGGAGAAAUGGAUGUAUCAAGACAUAUUUUAGUUCUAGAUACAUCCAUUUUUAUCCAUUUCUACAACAAAUAAUUCCGGACGUAGGGAGUAAUAA